AGAGUUUGAUCAUGGCUCAGGAUGAACGCUAGCGGCAGGCUUAAUACAUGCAAGUCGAGGGGCAGCAUGACUGUAGCAAUACAGUUGAUGGCGACCGGCAAACGGGUGCGGAACACGUACAGAACCUUCCUUCGAGCGGGGAAUAGCCCGGAGAAAUCCGGAUUAAUACCCCAUAGUAUGGUGAAGAGGCAUCUCUUUACUAUUAAAGAUUUAUCACUUGAAGAUGGCUGUGCGGCUGAUUAGGUAGUUGGCGGGGUAACGGCCCACCAAGCCUGCGAUCAGUAACUGGUGUGAGAGCACGACCAGUCACACGGGCACUGAGACACGGGCCCGACUCCUACGGGAGGCAGCAGUAAGGAAUAUUGGUCAAUGGACGAAAGUCUGAACCAGCCAUGCCGCGUGGAGGAUGAAGGUCCUCUGGAUUGUAAACUUCUUUUAUAUGGGACGAAAAAAGGCCUUUCCAGGUCGUCUGACGGUACCAUAUGAAUAAGCACCGGCUAACUCCGUGCCAGCAGCCGCGGUAAUACGGAGGGUGCAAGCGUUAUCCGGAUUCACUGGGUUUAAAGGGUGCGUAGGUGGGUUGAUAAGUCAGUGGUGAAAUCCCCGAGCUUAACUUGGGAACUGCCAUUGAUACUAUUGAUCUUGAAUACCGUGGAGGUCAGCGGAAUAUGUCAUGUAGCGGUGAAAUGCUUAGAUAUGACAUAGAACACCAAUUGCGAAGGCAGCUGGCUACGCGAAUAUUGACACUGAUGCACGAAAGCGUGGGGAUCAAACAGGAUUAGAUACCCUUGUAGUCC
Molecule: ribosomal RNA, 797 nt
Filed under: uncultured bacterium
Lineage: Bacteria
Description: bacterial SSU rRNA
Rfam family: Bacterial small subunit ribosomal RNA
Source: RNAcentral